This 472-nucleotide ribosomal RNA is filed under the name uncultured bacterium. RNAcentral's name for it is "partial 16S ribosomal RNA". It matches the Rfam family "Bacterial small subunit ribosomal RNA", at positions 28 to 523 of the family's 1533-position model. The record is from RNAcentral.
GAUGAACGCUGACAGAAUGCUUAACACAUGCAAGUCGACUUGACUAGUUUACUAGUUGGGUGGCGCACGGGUGAGUAACGCGUGAAGAACUUGCCCUCUAGCCUGGGACAACUACUAGAAAUGGUAGCUAAGACCGGAUAGUAUUUUUGGUAGGCAUCUACUGGAAAUGAAAGGGAACACUAGAGGAGAGCUUCGCGUCCCAUUAGCUAGUUGGUAGUGUAAGAGACUACCAAGGCGACGAUGGGUAGCCGGCCUGAGAGGGUGAACGGCAACAAGGGGACGGAGACACGGACCUUAAUCCUAGGGGAGUCAGCAGUGGGGAAUAUUGGACAAUGGGCAAAAGAGCCUGAUCCAGCAAUUCUGCGUGAACGAAGAAGGCUUUCGGGUCGUAAAGUUCUUUCGGCAGGGAAGAAGGAAAUGACGGUACCUGCAUAAGAAGCGACGGCUAAUUACGUGCCAGCCGCCGCCGUAA